AAUUGUACUGCUAUUAAUACAUCAUAAAUAUUUAUUAUAUUUCUCAGAUUACUACUUCUGUCUUAAUAAAGAUUUCAUAUUAUUGGAUCCCUGAUAACUGGAUUCCUGCAUUAUUAACUCUAACAGGAGCUCUUUUUGUGCUGUGCCUCUAUGCUGUUGCCUGGUGCCUCUUCAAAGAUUCUCCUGUUUGUUCAAGAUUAUUUCCCAACUGUCACAAACAUGACCAGAGCCAACCAAGUCUCACGACCAAAGGGCCUGGAGUAGUACCAAGUGACAGGAAUACAAUAACUAUUUGACAAUAAGACAGGAGAAGUCAAGAUGUUGAACAAUUAAGAGAAGAAUAUGAUGCCAAUGGAAGACAUUUGACUUUAACCAGCAUAAAGGUCACCAUAUCUUCAUGUCACUUGCUUUAUUUGAAAAGGUCUUUUAAA
Molecule: long non-coding RNA, 431 nt
Filed under: Aotus nancymaae (Ma's night monkey)
Lineage: Eukaryota; Metazoa; Chordata; Mammalia; Primates; Aotidae
Description: lncRNA (ENSANAG00000039093.1)
Source: RNAcentral